Molecule: microRNA, 23 nt
Filed under: Magallana gigas (Pacific oyster)
Lineage: Eukaryota; Metazoa; Mollusca; Bivalvia; Ostreida; Ostreidae
Description: Mgi-Mir-9-P18_3p* (star (passenger))
Source: RNAcentral
AUAAAGCUAUGCUACCGGAGGCU